CUCGGAAGCUAAGCAGGGUCGGGCCUGGUUAGUUAUCUUGGAUGGGAGACCACCUGGGAAUCCCGGGUGCUCGAGG
RNAcentral lists this ribosomal RNA (76 nucleotides) under Bison bison bison. The record is from RNAcentral. Lineage: Eukaryota; Metazoa; Chordata; Mammalia; Artiodactyla; Bovidae.